AUACGUAGGUGGCAAGCGUUGUCCGGAUUUAUUGGGCGUAAAGCGAGCGCAGGCGGUUUUUUAAGUCUGAUGUGAAAGCCUUCGGCUCAACCGAAGAAGUGCAUCGGAAACUGGGAAACUUGAGUGCAGAAGAGGACAGUGGAACUCCAUGUGUAGCGGUGGAAUGCGUGGAUAUAUGGAAGAACACCAGUGGCGAAGGCGGCUGUCUAGUCUGUAACUGACGCUGAGGCUACGAAAGCAGUGGGUAGAC
Molecule: ribosomal RNA, 250 nt
Filed under: uncultured bacterium
Lineage: Bacteria
Description: partial 16S ribosomal RNA
Rfam family: Bacterial small subunit ribosomal RNA
Source: RNAcentral